UGCCGGGUUGGGCAACUGUAGUGCCCUAAAAACCUUACUUAUUGUAAAUUCCAGUUUAACAGGUCAUAUUCCUUCCUCCUUUGGCCGCCUAAGGAAGCUUUCACAUAUUGAUCUCUCUAGAAAUCAACUGUCUGGGAAUAUACCUCCUGAAUUUGGGGCUUGCAAAUCCUUGAAAGAAUUGGAUUUGUACGAUAACCAACUCGAGGGACGUAUCCCUAGUGAACUGGGCUUGCUAAGUAGAUUAGAGGUCCUUCAAUUGUUUUCAAACCGGUUGACUGGUGAAAUUCCAAUUAGCAUCUGGAAGAUUGCAAGUCUCCAACAGAUUCUUGUGUAUGACAACAACCUUUUUGGGGAAUUACCCUUGAUAAUAACAGAACUCAGGCACCUCAAAAUCAUUUCUGUGUUCAACAAUCAUUUUUCUGGAGUCAUACCUCAAAGUUUGGGACUCAACAGUAGCUUAGUGCAGGUGGAGUUCACCAAUAAUCAGUUCACUGGUCAAAUUCCACCUAAUUUAUGCUCUGGAAAGACAUUAAGGGUGCUAAAUUUAGGUUUGAAUCAAUUUCAAGGAAAUGUACCUCUUGAUAUUGGAACUUGUUUGACUCUUCAGAGAUUAAUUUUAAGAAGGAAUAAUCUAGCAGGGGUUCUGCCAGAAUUUACGAUAAAUCACGGUCUUCGAUUCAUGGAUGCCAGUGAAAAUAACCUCAAUGGAACAAUUCCCUCAAGUUUGGGAAAUUGCAUCAAUCUUACCUCAAUUAAUCUUCAAAGCAACAGGCUUUCAGGCCUUAUACCUAAUGGAUUGAGAAAUCUUGAGAAUCUUCAAAGUUUGAUUUUGUCUCAUAACUUCUUGGAAGGACCUUUGCCAUCUUCCCUCUCAAAUUGCACGAAGCUGGAUAAAUUUGACGUAGGAUUUAAUUUAUUGAAUGGUUCUAUACCUCGUAGUUUAGCCAGCUGGAAAGUUAUAUCCACGUUUAUAAUUAAAGAGAAUCGAUUUGCUGGAGGUAUCCCGAAUGUAUUAUCAGAACUUGAAAGCCUUUCACUACUAGAUCUUGGUGGCAAUCUGUUUGGAGGUGAAAUCCCUUCAUCUAUUGGAAAUUUGAAGAGUCUGUUUUACUCCCUGAAUCUUAGUAACAAUGGGUUAAGUGGCACACUACCUUCUGAGCUGGCGAAUCUUGUCAAGUUACAGGAAUUAGAUAUAUCUCACAAUAAUUUGACUGGAAGUUUAACUGUCCUUGGCGAACUAAGUUCGACAUUAGUUGAGCUUAACAUUUCAUAUAAUUUUUUCACCGGUCCAGUGCCACAAACAUUAAUGAAGUUAUUGAAUUCUGAUCCCUCAUCGUUCUUAGGUAACCCUGGGUUGUGCAUUAGUUGUGAUGUACCAGAUGGUCUAAGUUGCAAUAGAAAUAUCAGUAUUAGUCCUUGUGCUGUUCAUUCAAGCGCCCGUGGUAGCUCUCGACUUGGAAAUGUACAGAUUGCAAUGAUAGCUCUGGGGUCUUCACUUUUUGUUAUUCUUUUGCUUCUUGGGUUGGUUUAUAAGUUUGUUUAUAACAGAAGAAACAAGCAAAACAUUGAGACUGCUGCUCAAGUCGGAACAACUUCCUUGCUCAACAAGGUAAUGGAGGCCACCGAUAAUUUAGAUGAACGUUUCGUCAUUGGAAGAGGAGCACAUGGAGUUGUUUAUAAGGUCUCCCUGGAUUCAAAUAAAGUUUUUGCUGUAAAGAAGCUUACAUUUUUAGGACAUAAAAGGGGAAGCCGGGAUAUGGUUAAAGAAAUUAGAACUGUCAGCAACAUCAAGCACCGGAACUUGAUCUCUUUGGAAAGUUUUUGGUUGGGAAAAGAUUAUGGUCUAUUGCUUUACAAAUACUAUCCAAAUGGGAGCCUUUAUGAUGUGUUGCACGAGAUGAAUACAACUCCAUCUCUCACAUGGAAAGCCCGCUAUAAUAUAGCGAUCGUAUUGCUCAUGCAUUGGCAUAUCUCCAUUACGAUUGUGAUCCUCCCAUUAUACACCGAGACAUCAAACCACAGAAUAUACUUCUAGAUUCGGAGAUGGAACCUCAUAUCGCCGACUUUGGUCUUGCAAAGCUAUUGGAUCAAACUUUCGAACCCGCGACUUCAUCUUCUUUUGCGGGUACAAUUGGCUACAUUGCACCAGGUAUCAUUCUACACAUAUAUUGCAAAUUAACUCUGCAUUCUCAUGUGUUUUUGUUUUGGGUGGAUUGAAUUGUGUUGUGAUAUGUUUAUGUGGUUGUGACAGAGAAUGCAUUUUCAGCAGCAAAGACCAAAGCCUCAGAUGUGUACAGUUAUGGGGUGGUUUUACUGGAGCUGGUGACGGGAAAGAAGCCAUCAGAUCCAUCAUUUAUAGAAGUCGGGAAUAUGACGGCUUGGAUUCGGUCGGUUUGGAAGGAGAGAGAUGAAAUAGAUAGAAUUGUUGAUCCAAGGCUUGAGGAAGAACUUGCUAAUUUGGAUCAUAGGGAGCAGAUGAAUCAGGUGGUUCUUGUGGCUUUGAGAUGCACAGAAAACGAGGCUAACAAAAGACCUAUAAUGAGAGAGAUUGUGGAUCACUUGAUUGAUUUAAAGAUCAGUCGUUAGAGCACACAUGACUAACCAUGCUUUUUCCUUCUACCCUAAACAUUUCUUACAAAUAACCGAAUGUGAUCGUUUAUUAUUAGGAUAGUAUAAUAGUGUCCAUCACUAUAUUUUUGUAUUUUUGUAUAUUGCUGGUCCGUAUAUAUUUAGUGUAUGUUUGAGAACGUUUUGAAGUAAUUUUGAAGGGUAUCAUGUUAAUCGAUCUAAUCUUUUAUUUUAUACUUUUGAAUGCAAUUUUUCUUACAUCAAAAUUGGUUUUAAAUGACAAUAAAACAUGUUUAAGAUGAUUUCAAAAAUGACAAAAAUGAUUUUAAUCAUUUUAAAUUAUUAUUUUUCUUUCCUCUCAUAUUCUAAUACAAGAAAGUAACAUUGAUCAUUUGAAUAAAAGUUUUUAAUUUCCUCCCAUAUUUAAUCUAGUUUUUUCUCUAGUGUUCAUUCAUUUUUGUGUAAAGAAAAUUUCAUAAAAGUGAGAGUAGAACGUAAUUAUAAUCGACUUUGAAUUUAGAAGUUAUAAUCGACUUUGAGUUUAGAAGUUUCAACUUCUCUACUUCACAUAUUAUACAAAGAAGUUAAAAGAAAAAAAAACUAUCAUUUAAUUUGAAUGCACCAAAAUGAACAUAAAUGAAUUGACAUAAUGUUUGUACUACCAACUUUGAAAUUAAAGAUUCAAUUUCUUCUCCACACAUAAUGUUUGUAUUACCAUAACUAGCAUUAAUCUAUUAUAAGAAAAAUAUAAUAAUAAUAACCAAAAGUCAUCAAAAGAAAAUAAUUUUGUUUCUAUUUAAAUAAAAAUAAGCAGGUAAUAAAUAAUAAAAUGAACAAAUAUAUUAGUCAUAUUUUUGAAAGGCAUACGAUAUAAACCAUUCAAUUCUUCAUAACAAAAUUUUGACUUUAUACCUAUACACAAAAUAAUUAUAUAUUGUAAUAAAAUCAACGUUUAAGCUUUGGUUUUCCUUUUCUAAAAUUGUCUCCCAAAUAAUUAUUUUAAAACAACUUUAAUUUUUAAAAAAUAUUUAGACAAUAAAAUAGAGACAAUAAAUAAAUAAAUAUAUAUAUAAAUUCUAACCGUGUUUAGGAUUGUUUUUUAAUAUAGCAAAAUAAACUAAAAUAUUUAUCAAAUAUAAUAAAAUUUCAUAAUUUGUCAAUGUCUAUCAUUAUUUAUCAUGAAUAGAUUUUGAAAUUUUACUAUAUUUUCAGAUAUCUUCAACGGUUUUAUCAUUUAAAAUAAUUUAAACUACGAAAGUUUAUUCUAGGGUGGGCUCAAAUUUUGAAUGUGUUAAAUCUAAAUUUGAAGAUUGGUAGAUAAAAUUGUUUAAAUUUGAAAGUUGAAAUGUUAGAAAAAAAAAUGGUUGAUUUGAUGGACAAAUGUGUUAGGAAUGAUGUGAACUGAAAAUGGUAUUAAUUUAAGAUUUUAGUUUAUAUAAUGCUGAGAUAUAAAUAAUUAUUUUUGAAAGGAUUUGUUUGAAAAUGAAAAAGGUUAGUACGAAACGUCAUGAGAGUGGAUGAUAAAACAAAAUUUCAAAUUUGUAGACUCAAACAGUUUCUUUUGAGUACAACAACUACAGAGGAGGAUUCCGACUUUCCAACCAUAUUAAUUACCGCUAACCUUAGAGUACCAAAAACUAACUUCACACCUUCAUCCAAGGGUUUGAUUUUGAGUUUCGGUGUUCCAUCCCAUCCUUAAACUUUCGAUUCUUCAACCUUUCGGUCCCUAAUUUCUUUCUCUAUAUCCUCCACUCUCGUCUCUGCUGCAAUUCAUGUGCCUUUUGUUGUUAUGCAGCUUCAUUCCCGCCAUUUCUUCCUGCUGGUAUGCUUCUCUUUCCAUCUCUAUGUUGUUUUUGCUUUAACCUCUGAUGGUUGGCUUUAUUAUCGCUCCAAAGCCGCUGGACUUCUCACACCCCUUUUAUCCCUCUUUGGAAUGCUUCUGAUUCCACUCCCUGUUCUUGGGCUGGGAUUGAAUGUGAUCAAAACCUUCGUGUCAUCACUUUCAAUCUCUCGUAUAAUGUUUCGGGUCCGCUUGGACCUGAAAUUGCACGUUUGACCCACUUGCGUACUAUUGCUUUGACCGCCAACCGUUUCUCUGGUGAAAUUCCUUAUGGGAUUGGUAACUGUAGCCAUUUAGAGUACUUGGAUCUCUCCUUCAACCAAUUUAGUGGACAAAUUCCUCAGUCAUUGACCCUCCUUACGAACUUGACGUUUUUGAACUUCCAUGACAAUGUUCUAACUGGUGCAAUACCCAACUCCUUAUUUCAGAAUCUUAAUUUGCUGUAUGUGUAUCUUGGUGAAAACAAUCUCAACGGUUCUAUCCCUUCAAAUGUGGGGAAUUCGAGUCAGCUGUUUCAUUUGUAUCUGUACGGAAAUGAGUUUUCUGGUUCCAUACCUUCUUCCAUAGGGAACUGUAGUCAAUUGGAGGAUCUUUAUUUGGAUGGGAACCAGUUAGUGGGAACAUUGCCCGAUAGUCUUAACAAUCUUGAUAAUCUUGUUAAUCUGGGUGUAAGCCGAAACAAUCUCCAGGGUCCAAUUCCUUUGGGUUCGGGAGGUUGUCAGAGUUUAGAAUAUAUAGAUUUGUCAUUCAAUGGUUAUACAGGAGGUAUACCUGCCGGGUUGGGCAACUGUAGUGCCCUAAGAACCUUACUUAUAAUAAAUUCCAGUUUAACAGGUCAUAUUCCUUCCUCCUUUGGCCGUCUAAGAAAGCUUUCACAUAUUGAUCUCUGUAGAAAUCAACUGUCUGGGAAUAUACCUCCUGAAUUUGGGGCUUGCAAAUCCUUGAAAGAAUUGAAUUUGUACGUCAACCAAUUUGAGGGACGUAUCCCUAGCGAACUGGGUUUGCUUAGUAAAUUAGAGGUCCUUCAAUUGU
RNAcentral lists this long non-coding RNA (5440 nucleotides) under Cucumis sativus (cucumber). Its description in RNAcentral is "long non-coding RNA (CSAT_LNC002968)". Lineage: Eukaryota; Viridiplantae; Streptophyta; Magnoliopsida; Cucurbitales; Cucurbitaceae. The record is from RNAcentral.